GACACGGCUAUGAGGUGAGGAAAGCGGGGGUAGCAAUCAGGAUUAGAUAACCGUGGUAGUUCACCCGUAAACGAUGUCAACUAGCCGUUGGGUCCCUUGAAGACUUAGUGGCGCAGCUAACGCAAUAAGUUGACCGCCUUGGGGAGUACGGCCGCAAGGUUAAAACUCAAAUGAAUUGACGGGGGCCCGCACAAGCGGUGGAGCAUGUGGUUUAAUUUGAUGCAACGCGAAGAACCUUACCUACCCUUGACAUCGAGAGAACUUUCCAGAGAUGGAUUGGUGCCUUCGGGAACUCUUAGACAGGUGCUGCAUGGCUGUCGUCAGCUCGUGUUGUGAAAUGUUGGGUUAAGUCCCGUAACGAGCGCAACCCUUGUCCCUAUUUGCCAGCGAUUCGGUCGGGAACUCUAGGGAGACUGCCGGUGACAAACCGGAGGAAGGUGGGGACGACGUCAAGUCAUCAUGGCCCUUACGGGUAGGGCUACACACGUGCUACAAUGGCAAGUACAAAGGGUUGCAAUACGGCGACGUGGAGCCAAUCCCAUAAAGCUUGCCUCAGUCCGGAUUGGAGUCUGCAACUCGACUCCAUGAAGUCGGAAUCGCUAGUAAUCGUGGAUCAGAAUGCCACGGUGAAUACGUUCCCGGGCCUUGUACACACCGCCCGUCACACCAUGGGAGUGGACUGCACCAGAAGUGGUUAGCC
This 700-nucleotide ribosomal RNA is filed under the name uncultured bacterium. Its description in RNAcentral is "bacterial SSU rRNA". It matches the Rfam family "Bacterial small subunit ribosomal RNA", at positions 737 to 1435 of the family's 1533-position model. The record is from RNAcentral.